UGGAAAUCAGAGAGACAGAACGAUAAGGCCACCCUGGAAAACCCAAGGCCUGCAGAGCACAGCUGACCCCCGCUGGGGUCUGUGCGCCAUGGGUGGGGCAGAUUCCCAAGGCUCAGAGCAACUGUGAUGAUGUGAAUGAAGAAAAUGGGGCUCUCUCUGUAGCCAGCAUACUGUAGAGGAGAGGGUUGGUCUACAUGCGGAAACAUGCCUUCCAUGGUCAGAAAUGUAUUGGGUACCUAAUUCUGCAGCUUGCUUUUUACUUUAACGUCAUAUUUAAACACUUUCAAGCAGUUGCCUGGCCUCUGUGAUUGCUGCAAUUCAAUGGCUGCAAAGGAUCCUGUUGAGUGUACUAUAAUAUAAUUAAAUACUCGUCUUUUA
Molecule: long non-coding RNA, 378 nt
Organism: Manis javanica (Malayan pangolin)
Lineage: Eukaryota; Metazoa; Chordata; Mammalia; Pholidota; Manidae
Source: RefSeq, a predicted model, not a curated record